This 586-nucleotide ribosomal RNA is filed under the name uncultured bacterium. RNAcentral's name for it is "bacterial SSU rRNA". It matches the Rfam family "Bacterial small subunit ribosomal RNA", at positions 338 to 916 of the family's 1533-position model. The record is from RNAcentral.
CCUACGGGAGGCAGCAGUAGGGAAUCUUCCGCAAUGGACGAAAGUCUGACGGAGCAACGCCGCGUGAACGAUGAAGGCCUUCGGGUCGUAAAGUUCUGUUGUUAGGGAAGAACAAGUGCUAGUUAAAUAAGCUGGCACCUUGACGGUACCUAACCAGAAAGCCACGGCUAACUACGUGCCAGCAGCCGCGGUAAUACGUAGGUGGCAAGCGUUGUCCGGAAUUAUUGGGCGUAAAGCGCGCGCAGGCGGUUUCUUAAGUCUGAUGUGAAAGCCCCCGGCUCAACCGGGGAGGGUCAUUGGAAACUGGGAAACUUGAGUGCAGAAGAGGAAAGUGGAAUUCCAAGUGUAGCGGUGAAAUGCGUAGAGAUUUGGAGGAACACCAGUGGCGAAGGCGUCUUUCUGGUCUGUAACUGACGCUGAGGCGCGAAAGCGUGGGGAGCAAACAGGAUUAGAUACCCUGGUAGUCCACGCUGUAAACGAUGAGUGCUAAGUGUUAGAGGGUUUCCGCCCUUUAGUGCUGAAGUUAACGCAUUAAGCACUCCGCCUGGGGAUACGGUCGCAAGACUGAAACUCAAAGGAUUGACGG